UGAGGAAUAUUGCGCAAUGGGGGAAACCCUGACGCAGCAACGCCGCGUGGGUGAAGAAGGCCUUCGGGUUGUAAAGCCCUGUCAGGUGGGAAGAAACCUUUAUAGGUGAAUAGUCUAUGAAGCUGACGGUACCACCAAAGGAAGCACCGGCUAACUCCGUGCCAGCAGCCGCGGUAAGACGGAGGGUGCAAGCGUUGUUCGGAAUCACUGGGCGUAAAGCGCGUGUAGGCGGUUUGCUAAGUCGGUUGUGAAAGCCCGAGGCUCAACUUCGGAAGUGCAGUCGAAACUGGCAGGCUUGAGUACGGGAGAGGGAAGUGGAAUUCCUGGUGUAGAGGUGAAAUUCGUAGAUAUCAGGAGGAACACCGGUGGCGAAGGCGGCUUCCUGGACCGAUACUGACGCUGAGACGCGAAAGCGUGGGGAGCAAACAGG
RNAcentral lists this ribosomal RNA (430 nucleotides) under uncultured Desulfomonile sp. RNAcentral describes it as "bacterial SSU rRNA". It matches the Rfam family "Bacterial small subunit ribosomal RNA", at positions 355 to 776 of the family's 1533-position model. Lineage: Bacteria; Pseudomonadati; Thermodesulfobacteriota; Desulfomonilia; Desulfomonilales; Desulfomonilaceae. The record is from RNAcentral.